Molecule: small nuclear RNA, 103 nt
Organism: Cervus hanglu yarkandensis (Yarkand deer)
Lineage: Eukaryota; Metazoa; Chordata; Mammalia; Artiodactyla; Cervidae
Source: Ensembl
GCUCUCUUUGGCAGUGCAUAUACUAAAAUUGGAAUAAUAUGGAGAAGGUCAGCAUGGCUCCUUGCAAGGAUGCAUGCAAAUUCGUGAAGUGUUACAUAUUUUU